RNAcentral lists this ribosomal RNA (350 nucleotides) under Dunhevedia crassa. RNAcentral's name for it is "partial 16S ribosomal RNA". It matches the Rfam family "Bacterial large subunit ribosomal RNA", at positions 1919 to 2597 of the family's 2925-position model. Lineage: Eukaryota; Metazoa; Arthropoda; Branchiopoda; Diplostraca; Chydoridae. The record is from RNAcentral.
GCCUGCUAGCCGCAGUACUUUGACUGUGCGAAGGUAGCACAAUCACUUGUCUUUUAAUUGAAGGCUAGAAUGAAUGGUUUGACGAGAAAAUAUCUGUCUUUGAAUUUCAUUUAUGAAUGCAAAAGUUCAUAUAAUCUCAUUGGACGAUCAGACCCUAUGGAGCUUAUUGGUUGGGGCGACAUAUAUUGAUCCUUGUUGAAAGAUUAAAAGACUAAGUUACCCUAGGGAUAACAGCGUUAUUUUCUUGGAGAGUUCAAAUCGAUAAGAAAGUUUGCGACCUCGAUGUUGGAUCGAAGAAUCUAUAAGGUGUAGCCGCUUUAUAAGAGGGUCUGUUCGACCUUUAAAUCUUU